CCUACGGGGGGCAGCAGUGGGGAAUAUUGCACAAUGGGGGCAACCCUGAUGCAGCGACGCCGCGUGAAGGAAGAAGGAUUUCGGUAUGUAAACUUCUAUCAGCAGGGAAGAAAAUGACGGUACCUGACUAAGAAGCACCGGCUAACUACGUGCCAGCAGCCGCGGUAAUACGUAGGGGGCAAGCGUUAUCCGGAUUUACUGGGUGUAAAGGGAGCGUAGGCGGUGCAGCAAGUCAGAAGUGAAAUCCCGGGGCUCAACUCCGGGACUGCUUUUGAAACUGUUGAACUAGAGUGCAGGAGAGGUAAGCGGAAUUCCUAGUGUAGCGGUGAAAUGCGUAGAUAUUAGGAAGAACACCAGUGGCGAAGGCGGAUUACUGGACUGUAAAUGACGCUGAGGCUCGAAAGCGUGGGGAGCAAACAGGAUUAGAUACCCCUGUAGUC
Molecule: ribosomal RNA, 440 nt
Filed under: uncultured bacterium
Lineage: Bacteria
Description: partial 16S ribosomal RNA
Rfam family: Bacterial small subunit ribosomal RNA
Source: RNAcentral